UUCGAUGGGGUGGAUCCCAAAUGGUGGAAACAACAGUGUGAAAAGUACUUCCGGAUGUACAAUGUGCAGCAGAAAUUAUGGGUCGAUUUUGCAACAAUGCAUUUUGCAGGCAAUGCAGCUCGUUGGCUUCAGACUUACGAAGCCAUGCACACAGUCGACAGUUGGGCAGCCUUGUGUGUUGCAGUGUUCGCCAAAUUCAACAGAAACAAAUACACCAGAGAUAUUGAUGUAUUCUUUGCACUGAAACAAACUGACACAGUGGAUGAGUAUGCCCAUCUCUUCGAGGAGCACAUGCACAAGAUGUUGGUUUACAAUCAGUCUUAUGAUGAGACCUUCAUUAACCGCUUUGUUCAAGAUCUCAAACCAGCUAUAAGAGCACCUGUGAAGCUGCUGCAGCCAAGCACAGUGGAUUUGACUUACUCAUUGGCACAAACACAAGAGGCACUCCUAGUGGAAGACAACUAA
Molecule: ribosomal RNA, 465 nt
Filed under: Triticum aestivum (bread wheat)
Lineage: Eukaryota; Viridiplantae; Streptophyta; Magnoliopsida; Poales; Poaceae
Description: partial small subunit ribosomal RNA
Source: RNAcentral